UGAGGAAUAUUGGACAAUGGGCGGAAGCCUGAUCCAGCCAUGCCGCGUGCAGGAAUAAGGUCCUAUGGAUUGUAAACUGCUUUUAUACGAGAAGAAAUAGUGCUACGUGUAGUAUGUUGACGGUAUCGUAUGAAUAAGCACCGGCUAACUCCGUGCCAGCAGCCGCGGUAAUACGGAGGGUGCAAGCGUUAUCCGGAAUCAUUGGGUUUAAAGGGUCCGUAGGCGGUUUAAUAAGUCAGUGGUGAAAUCCAGUCGCUCAACGAUUGAACUGCCAUUGAUACUGUUAGACUUGAAUUAUUGUGAAGUAACUAGAAUAUGUAGUGUAGCGGUGAAAUGCUUAGAUAUUACAUGGAAUACCAAUUGCGAAGGCAGGUUACUAAUGGUAUAUUGACGCUGAUGGACGAAAGCGUGGGUAGCGAACA
Molecule: ribosomal RNA, 422 nt
Filed under: uncultured bacterium
Lineage: Bacteria
Description: bacterial SSU rRNA
Rfam family: Bacterial small subunit ribosomal RNA
Source: RNAcentral